GCGGCAUUAGUUCACUGGUAGAACGCAACUUUUCCAAAGUUGAUGUAAGGGGUCCGAUUCCCCUAUGCCGCU
RNAcentral lists this transfer RNA (72 nucleotides) under Candidatus Vogelbacteria bacterium RIFOXYB1_FULL_42_16. RNAcentral describes it as "tRNA-Gly". It matches the Rfam family "tRNA". From Rfam's summary of the family: Transfer RNA (tRNA) molecules are approximately 80 nucleotides in length. Their secondary structure includes four short double-helical elements and three loops (D, anti-codon, and T loops). Further hydrogen bonds mediate the characteristic L-shaped molecular structure. tRNAs have two regions of fundamental functional importance: the anti-codon, which is responsible for specific mRNA codon recognition, and the 3' end, to which the tRNAs corresponding amino acid is attached (by aminoacyl-tRNA synthetases). tRNAs cope with the degeneracy of the genetic code in two manners: having more than one tRNA (with a specific anti-codon) for a particular amino acid; and 'wobble' base-pairing, i.e. permitting non-standard base-pairing at the 3rd anti-codon position. The record is from RNAcentral. Lineage: Bacteria; Candidatus Vogeliibacteriota. RNAcentral also lists the same sequence under 1 other name.